CCAGUGAACCUUUACUAUAGCUUUGCACUGGACUUUGAAUUUGCUUGUGUAGGAUAGGUGGGAGGCUUUGUAGCGUGGACGCCAGUCUGCGUGGAGCCAUCCUUGAAAUACCA
This 113-nucleotide ribosomal RNA is filed under the name Klebsiella quasipneumoniae. Its description in RNAcentral is "partial 23S ribosomal RNA". It matches the Rfam family "Bacterial large subunit ribosomal RNA", at positions 2090 to 2202 of the family's 2925-position model. The record is from RNAcentral. Lineage: Bacteria; Pseudomonadati; Pseudomonadota; Gammaproteobacteria; Enterobacterales; Enterobacteriaceae.